This 704-nucleotide long non-coding RNA is filed under the name Eucalyptus grandis. Its description in RNAcentral is "long non-coding RNA (EGRA_LNC007933)". Lineage: Eukaryota; Viridiplantae; Streptophyta; Magnoliopsida; Myrtales; Myrtaceae. The record is from RNAcentral.
UUUAUUAUAAUAAAUGGAAUAACAUCUGCCCCGAGGAAAUAAAUUUAUUAUCCUUUAAAAUUACAAACAUCCUUAAAUAUUUCCUAAACUUAGAGCCAUUUGAUCAAGCUAGAAUACUAUGUACAACAAACCUUGAUACAACACAGUUUCUCAAAUAUCUAUUCUCUGUUUACAUGCAAAGCGUACAUAAAAGUUCAAAUGCUCCUGUCAUAGAUAGAAUUAAAGGUCAUUGUAGCACAUAAGCUGCCAUGUCUUUUGACCACAAAGAUGAUUUGUCUGGCCUGCUUGACUCCCUAGAUGAAGUGGAGGAUGAAUCCUUUGAGUGACCUCUCAGACCUUCAUCAGCAAUUAGAUCCAUGAAUUUUGAAAGUGACAAGGUGUCGAUAUUUCACCGUCAUUAACCUCAGCUAAGUUCAUUAGCAUCUUCACGACAGUCAACAUGGAUGUUUGAAGCCCUGGUAUACCCUGUGUUCAAAGAAGACCAAUCUUCAUGAAUAGGCAUGCCUCUUACCUAUGAUGUUCCCCAUCCAGAGAUGUACCACUAAGAUCAUUAGCUCCCCUUUCUUGUGCAAUUUCCAUGCCCACAACACAUUGUACAUGUAGAUCAAGAGAUACAUGCAUUUGCAGCAUCACAACUCAACUUCUAAGCCAACAAGAGCAAGAAAGUCUCCAAACCCCAAGCCUAUCUGUCCACAUAAUCCCCC